AAAAGACUCGCAGAAUUGAAUAGCUAAUGAAACAUAGAAUUUUUUAAAAUUCAUGAUGUCGUAAGGGAAAAUAAUGAUAAUACCUUACUAUGAGUGUCGUCCAAAUCUGGUGCCAGAAGACUCGGUAAGACCAGAGACGCAAACGUUAAUCAUCAUAAACAGGCGUAAAGGGUUUGUAGGCAGCUUUCACCAAACUAUGAUUACAAAAUAAAGUAGUUUAAUUGAAAGCUAGAAUCAAAAAGAGGUUAUAGUGUAUAACGCCUAGAGGAGGGCUGAUAUCCAUAGAUCCUAGGCAGAAUACUCAGGGCGAAGGCCACUCUCCACUACUGAUUGACGCUGAGAAACGAAGGUUAGGGUAGGAAAUAGGAUUAGAUACCCCGGUACUCCUUUCUGUAAACGAUGAAUGGUAGUCAUUAGUUUUAUAACUAGAGACGAAGUUAACACAAUAACCAUUCCGCCUUGUGAGUACUACUGCAAAGUAGAAAACAAAAAAAUUAGUCGGUCUCGAAGCAAACGGAGUGAAGCAUGUUAUUUAAUUCAU
RNAcentral lists this ribosomal RNA (541 nucleotides) under Daedalea confragosa. Its description in RNAcentral is "SSU rRNA". It matches the Rfam family "Bacterial small subunit ribosomal RNA", at positions 377 to 954 of the family's 1533-position model. Lineage: Eukaryota; Fungi; Basidiomycota; Agaricomycetes; Polyporales; Fomitopsidaceae. The record is from RNAcentral.